UUUUUGUUUUUUCUUUUUGCAUAUCUUUCCCUAAAUGCUUCAUCUCCCUACCCCUCCUGCAGUGAACCUAAUGUCCUCGAGGACCCCCAGGGCCUGGCCGCCGAGGGCAGCCUCUCUAGGGUGGCAAGUAUACAGAGUGAACCUGGCCAGCAGAACGUCCUCCUGCAGCAGCCACUGGGGAGGAAGAGGGGCCUGAGGCAGCUAAGACGCCCUCUCCUGUCAAGGCAGAAGACUCAAACUGAACCCAGAAACCGUCAUGGAGCCCGAUUGUCCACCACUCGCAGGAGCAUUCAACCUAAAACAAAGCCAUCUGUUGAUCAGAAGCGAUCUGUGACAUUCAUUGAGGCUCAGCCAGAGCCAACAGCUGCCCCAACAGAUAUGCUUCCUGCCACCGGCCAACCACAGAGCUGCGGC
Molecule: long non-coding RNA, 414 nt
Filed under: Rattus norvegicus (Norway rat)
Lineage: Eukaryota; Metazoa; Chordata; Mammalia; Rodentia; Muridae
Description: long non-coding RNA NONRATT030118
Source: RNAcentral